Molecule: ribosomal RNA, 497 nt
Filed under: uncultured bacterium
Lineage: Bacteria
Description: partial 16S ribosomal RNA
Rfam family: Bacterial small subunit ribosomal RNA
Source: RNAcentral
GAUGAACGCUGGCGGCGUGCCUAAUACAUGCAAGUCGAGCGAACGGACGAGAAGCUUGCUUCUCUGAUGUUAGCGGCGGACGGGUGAGUAACACGUGGAUAACCUACCUAUAAGACUAGGAUAACUUCGGGAAACCGGAGCUAAUACCGGAUGAUAUUUUGAACCGCAUGGUUCAAAAGUGAAAGACGGUCUUGCUGUCACUUAUAGAUCGAACCGCGCUGCAUUAGCUAGUUGGUAAGGUAACGGCUUACCAAGGCAACGAUGCAUAGCCGACCUGAGAGAGUGAUCGGCCACACUGGAACUGAGACACGGUCCAGACUCCUACGGGAGGCAGCAGUAGGGAAUCUUCCGCAAUGGGCGAAAGCCUGACGGAGCAACGCCGCGUGAGUGAUGAAGGUCUUCGGAUCGUAAAACUCUGUUAUUAGGGAAGAACAUAUGUGUAAGUAACUGUGCACAUCUUGACGGUACCUAAUCAGAAAGCCACGGCUAACUACGUG